RNAcentral lists this unclassified non-coding RNA (485 nucleotides) under Hevea brasiliensis (rubber tree). The record is from RNAcentral. Lineage: Eukaryota; Viridiplantae; Streptophyta; Magnoliopsida; Malpighiales; Euphorbiaceae.
UUAAUUAAUUUUUAAUACUCUCUAGUAUUUGAUAUUCAAUAGCUAUAUUAAUAACAAUGCUAAACAGACCGAGGGUCUCUGCUUUUAGUUUGUUAGUGUUUCCUUUUAGUUUGUUAUCCUUUUGGUCCUUUAUCUUUGGUAGUGAAAAAUUUCCUUUUCAAAAGCUUUCUUAUUUUUGUGCUCCUUUGGAUAUAUGUUUUCGCUGAGUAUUUCUUGACUAUUCUUCAGGAUGUUAUCUCAGAUAUGCACUUUCAUCAUCUCAAACCCUAUUAAGUAUUUGUUAAGUUGAAAGCCAUUUAAUUUGUUUUUGGUAAUUCAAGCAUACACGUGUCUAUGGAUGCAUGUUAUCAUACAGGUAAUAAAUAGGUAAUAUUCCUACAUGUGAGGUUCAUUAUCUGCAGUUAAUAUCAACUGAUUGCUGUUCGUCUGUUGCAUUGAUUACUUCUAUGAACAUUUGAGGGUGUGCUUUGUGUCUAUCAUUUUCU